GUUAACUUCUUUUGGGCUAUUUGGUUAUACGUUCAUCUUUUUGAUUAAAAUGUGCCGUCUCGGCCCGUUUUAUCAAACCUCAAAAGUAUCAGUGACCCAAAUCUGGUACUGCCCAUUAUUGGCCAGUAUCAAACCGAGCUAAGGCCUGGUCUCGUACUCACUUUAAUUGUUUUCACUUUUCAGUAUGUAUUACAUACAUUGUGAAAUCCCUUGUUCAAUUCAAGUAUUCCUACUUGUGCCAAAAAAAAAAAAAGUCGUCUAUUUCUUAGUGUUAUAACCGUACAGUUAGAAGUAGAAAAUUAAAAAACUUGUUUUAUAGGCUCCUUAAGUCCAGGAGAAUAUUUGACUAAUUUGAUACUGUCUAUAUGAAAACUUUCUAUAGAUAAAAACUUUGAAAGGUACAUAAUUAUUUUCAGAUUGUUGCCUGUAGAUCACCCCAAUAUGGCUCAAUCACCUUUAUGUUGGAGACUGAUAUUAAUUGGAAAUGUUUGAUGAGAAUUGAAAGUUAGGCCGCCCAACAUCCAAUCAAAUUGGUGAGCAGAAA
Molecule: long non-coding RNA, 544 nt
Filed under: Capsella rubella
Lineage: Eukaryota; Viridiplantae; Streptophyta; Magnoliopsida; Brassicales; Brassicaceae
Description: long non-coding RNA (CRUB_LNC003649)
Source: RNAcentral